GGCAUGUAAGAUCAAGGAAAGUUUGGCCGAUGAUGUCAAGGAAUCAGUGAGCAAGCAAGUCCAAGAAGAAGUGGAUGCUCAAGUAAACAAGAAGGUCCAACAAAACUUGACCUUGGCGCUUAAAAAAAUUGCGGAGGCAAACCCAGGCAUCAAAAUUAAUAUGGAGGAUUUUUGUCCAACAGCUUCGAGUGAUGAUGAAAAUGGUACGCCUAUAACUGGCGGUGGUAGCUGCUAGGUUCUCCAUGUUGUCUCCAUCUCCAGUAGUAAUAGUAUUAACCUAUUUCCUGCUUUUGGGUAUAUUUUGGUCAUCAACUAGUUGGUAAAUUAAGGAUUUGGUAAUUUCUUUUGUUUUAGUUUGGUGAAUUGUGAAUUGUGCUUUUGGUUGGAGUUGGUGAAUUGUGGAUUUGGUUGGAGUUGGUAGCUGCUUGGAUUUGGUUGAACUUGUGUAGCUAUUUUGGUUUGUAGAUGUUGAAUUGGUUGGAUUUAUUGGGAAUUUUAAUAUUUUAAACAGUAUAUUUUCAAUUUGUUUCAUGAAAAAAUGUUGC
This 545-nucleotide long non-coding RNA is filed under the name Daucus carota (carrot). Its description in RNAcentral is "long non-coding RNA (DCAR_LNC007336)". The record is from RNAcentral. Lineage: Eukaryota; Viridiplantae; Streptophyta; Magnoliopsida; Apiales; Apiaceae.